RNAcentral lists this non-coding RNA (208 nucleotides) under Arsukibacterium sp. MJ3. RNAcentral describes it as "Bacterial large subunit ribosomal RNA". It matches the Rfam family "Bacterial large subunit ribosomal RNA", at positions 1 to 211 of the family's 2925-position model. Lineage: Bacteria; Pseudomonadati; Pseudomonadota; Gammaproteobacteria; Chromatiales; Chromatiaceae. The record is from Rfam by way of RNAcentral.
GGUUAAGUGAUUAAGCGUACACGGUGGAUGCCUAGGCAGUUGGAGGCGAUGAAGGACGUAUUAACUUGCGAUAAGCCAUGAUGAGCUAGUAAAAAGCGCAUGAGUCAUGGAUUUCCGAAUGGGGAAACCCAGUGUGGUAACACACUAUCCUUAACUGAAUACAUAGGUUAAGGAGGCGAACGAGGGGAACUGAAACAUCUAAGUACCC